This 429-nucleotide ribosomal RNA is filed under the name uncultured archaeon. RNAcentral describes it as "bacterial SSU rRNA". It matches the Rfam family "Archaeal small subunit ribosomal RNA", at positions 474 to 903 of the family's 1478-position model. The record is from RNAcentral.
UACCUGCAGCUCAAGUGGUGAUCGCUAUUAUUGGGCCUAAAACGUCCGUAGCCGGUUUAUUAAAUGCCCGGGUAAAUCGUACGGCUUAACCGUACGAAUUCCGGGUAGACUGAUAGGCUUGAGACUGGGAGAAGCAAGAGGUACUCCUGGGGUAGAGGUGAAAUUCUGUAAUCCUAGGGGGACGACCAGUGGCGAAAGCGUCUUGCUAGAACGGGUCUGACGGUGAGGGGCGAAGCCCUGGGGCGCAAACGGGAUUAGAUACCCCGGUAGUCCAGGGUGUAAACGCUGCUUGCUUGAUGUUAGUUGGGCUCAGGGCCCAGUUAGUGUCGGAGAGAAGUUGUUAAGCAAGCUGCCUGGGAAGUACGGUCGCAAGACUGAAACCUAAAGGAAUUGGCGGGGGAGCACUGCAACGGGUGGAGCGUGCGGUUU